RNAcentral lists this unclassified non-coding RNA (203 nucleotides) under Hevea brasiliensis (rubber tree). Lineage: Eukaryota; Viridiplantae; Streptophyta; Magnoliopsida; Malpighiales; Euphorbiaceae. The record is from RNAcentral.
CACGUCUUUUUUGAUUGUCUCGCCCGCAACACCGGCGACGACUGCCAUUGCACCAUCGGGUGAAAAGGUUGCGCAUCCUGAUAGCGCAAACAUUGAAAUAAGCGCGGCUACACACGCCGCCUUCGAUCGGAACGGGUUCGCAACGACAACCAACGGUACGAUCUGGAGGGUUCGGUUCAUCGUGCGCUCCUAUUGCCCGGACU